GGGUGAGUAACGCGUGGGAACGUGCCCUUCAGUCUGGAAUAACACCGGGAAACUGGUGCUAAUACCGGAUAUUCCCCCCGGGGGAAAGAUUUAUCGCUGAAGGAUCGGCCCGCGUAAGAUUAGGUAGUUGGUGGGGUAAUGGCCUACCAAGCCUACGAUCUUUAGCUGGUCUGAGAGGAUGAUCAGCCACACUGGAACUGAGACACGGUCCAGACUCCUACGGGAGGCAGCAGUGGGGAAUAUUGGACAAUGGGGGAAACCCUGAUCCAGCCAUGCCGCGUGAGUGAUGAAGGCCCUAGGGUUGUAAAGCUCUUUUGUCAGGGAAGAUGAUGACGGUACCUGAAGAAUAAGCACCGGCUAACUUCGUGCCAGCAGCCGCGGUAAUACGAAGGGUGCUAGCGUUGUUCGGAAUUACUGGGCGUAAAGCGCGCGUAGGCGGCGAUGCAAGUCAGAGGUGAAAUCCCCAGGCUCAACCUGGGAAUUGCCUUUGAAACUGCAUUGCUUGAGUGUCGGAGGGGAUAGCGGAAUUGCUAAUGUAGAGGUGAAAUUCGUAGAUAUUAGCAGGAACACCGGUGGCGAAGGCGGCUAUCUGGACGACAACUGACGCUGAGGCGCGAAAGCGUGGGGAUCAAACAGGAUUAGAUACCCUGGUAGUCCACGCCGUAAACGAUGGGUGCUAGCUGUUCGGGGGUUACCCCUGAGUAGCGCAGCUAACGCGUUAAGCACCCCGCCUGGGGAGUACGGUCGCAAGAUUAAAACUCAAAGAAAUUGACGGGGACCCGCACAAGCGGUGGAACAUGUGGUUUAAUUCGAGGCAACGCGAAGAA
RNAcentral lists this ribosomal RNA (827 nucleotides) under uncultured bacterium. Its description in RNAcentral is "bacterial SSU rRNA". It matches the Rfam family "Bacterial small subunit ribosomal RNA", at positions 104 to 968 of the family's 1533-position model. The record is from RNAcentral.